AGAGUUUGAUCCUGGCUCAGGAUGAACGCUAGCGGCAGGCUUAAUACAUGCAAGUCGAGGGGUAGCAAGAUUGUAGCAAUACAAUUGUUGACGACCGGCAAACGGGUGCGGAACACGUACACAACCUUCCUACAAGUGGGGAAUAGCCCAGAGAAAUUUGGAUUAAUACCCCGUAACAUAGCGAUGUGGCAUCACAUUGCUAUUAUAGCUUCGGCGCUUGUUGAUGGGUGUGCGGCUGAUUAGAUAGUUGGCGGGGUAACGGCCCACCAAGUCUACGAUCAGUAGCUGAUGUGAGAGCAUGAUCAGCCACACGGGCACUGAGACACGGGCCCGACUCCUACGGGAGGCAGCAGUAAGGAAUAUUGGACAAUGGACGCAAGUCUGAUCCAGCCAUGCCGCGUGAAGGAUUAAGGUCCUCUGGAUUGUAAACUUCUUUUAUAAGGGACGAAAAAAGGUCUUUCUAGAUCGUCUGACGGUACCUUAUGAAUAAGCACCGGCUAACUCCGUGCCAGCAGCCGCGGUAAUACGGAGGGUGCAAGCGUUAUCCGGAUUCACUGGGUUUAAAGGGUGCGUAGGCGGGCAGGUAAGUCAGUGGUGAAAUCCUAGAGCUUAACUCUAGAACUGCCAUUGAUACUAUCUGUCUUGAAUAUUGUGGAGGUAAGCGGAAUAUGUCAUGUAGCGGUGAAAUGCGUAGA
This 695-nucleotide ribosomal RNA is filed under the name uncultured bacterium. Its description in RNAcentral is "bacterial SSU rRNA". It matches the Rfam family "Bacterial small subunit ribosomal RNA", at positions 8 to 694 of the family's 1533-position model. The record is from RNAcentral.